AGUGAACGCUGGCGGUAGGCCUAACACAUGCAAGUCGAACGGCAGCACAGUAAGAGCUUGCUCUUACGGGUGGCGAGUGGCGGACGGGUGAGGAAUACAUCGGAAUCUACUUUUUCGUGGGGGAUAACGUAGGGAAACUUACGCUAAUACCGCAUACGACCUACGGGUGAAAGCAGGGGAUCUUCGGACCUUGCGCGAUUGAAUGAGCCGAUGUCGGAUUAGCUAGUUGGCGGGGUAAAGGCCCACCAAGGCGACGAUCCGUAGCUGGUCUGAGAGGAUGGUCGGCCACACUGGAACGGAGACACGGUCCAGGGUCCUACGGGAGGCAGCAGUGGGGAAUAUUGGACAAUGGGGGCAAGCCUGAUCCAGCCAUACCGCGUGGGUGAAGAAGGCCUUCGGGUUGUAAAGCCCUUUUGUUGGGAAAGAAAAGCAGCAGGUUAAUACCCCGCUGUUCUGACGGUACCCAAAGAAUAAGCACCGGCUAACUUCGUG
This 492-nucleotide ribosomal RNA is filed under the name uncultured bacterium. Its description in RNAcentral is "partial 16S ribosomal RNA". It matches the Rfam family "Bacterial small subunit ribosomal RNA", at positions 29 to 507 of the family's 1533-position model. The record is from RNAcentral.